This 2384-nucleotide long non-coding RNA is filed under the name Vitis vinifera (wine grape). Its description in RNAcentral is "long non-coding RNA (VVIN_LNC003037)". The record is from RNAcentral. Lineage: Eukaryota; Viridiplantae; Streptophyta; Magnoliopsida; Vitales; Vitaceae.
GAUUGUCAUAUCAGCUUCAUCUCAUUAGUAAAGAUCCGACUUUAGGGACUUAGAGGGGUGCUACGGUCUUUACCGUACCUUCCCGAUAAGUAACCUGACCCCCGAACCCGAUCCGGUUUUUCAUAGACCGCCUUUUCCAAAAUAAGGAGUCACACUUAGGGUUUUUCUUUCUUAUUUUGUUUACCCUUUAAAAAUAAAACAAAAAUAAGUGGCGACUCCAAGUCAUUUUUGAAUAAAUAAAAUCAUUUUUUCAAAAUAAUAAAUCGAGCUCGUCAUCGAGUGGGAAACGCAUGAGCCGAAAUGCGGGGUCCACAUCUUUCUCUUUUAGGAUUAGAGCCUUUGUGUUCGUCUACUAGCCUGAGUGAGUUUGUAUUUCACUAGUAUCCCUAUGGGGGUCUCCUUGGUUCUUCGGUAGAGUUCACUUCAUUCCACUCACUAUUCACACUUGUUUUUCACUCCAGUGUUCAUAUUCCUUACACUCGUGAGCUCUAUUGAAGAGGGGCAUAUUUGUAGACCCCCAUUUUAGGGCACUUUCUUUCUCACCUUUCAUGUAGGUUAUUUGGCCAGGUGGCACGAUCCCAGGAGACCACAUGGCGUCUUUGGAGAAGCUGACAGAGAAUUAGGUUAGUGCUUUGAGGAGCUAUCAGAAUUCAACACCUGUAAAGGGGAUUUGAGAAAAGCUGCAGACGGUUAAGGAGUGGAGCGUUUCUGUUAUAGUGGGAGCAUGCCAACUGCAGGAGAAGAGUGCUUUACAGGAGGCCAGGACAGAGGAGAGGUGCUGGAGAGGAGGGGAUUCACGGGAGAGCUAGGAGCAGCAAGCUAGAGGAGAGUGGCGUUUUUGGGCUGCUGUUUUCUGGCAGAGGGAAGGAGCCAUAGUCUGGAGCAGAGAUCUUUGAGAGGGAUUCUGAGUUGAGCGCUUACCGGAGACGGAGCAAGGAGUUGCAACCCAAGACUAGUUGAAGAAGAGGCUUUCAGCGCGUUGCCGUUUGCUAAUCAGGUACGUAUCCACUUCCACUUCAGUUAUCCUCUAUUGCAUAUUCUAAUAUUCAUAUGUGCAUGAUUGAUUCGAGUAUUCAUUGAUUUUCUCAUUGAUUGUCAUAUCAGCUUCAUCUCAUUAGUAGAGACCCGACUUUAGGGACUUAGAGGGGUGCUACGGUCUUUAUCGUACCUUCCCGAUAAGUAACCUGACCCCUGAACCCGAUCCGGUUUUUCAUAGACCGCCUUUUCCAAAAUAAGGAGUCACACUUAGGGUUUUUCUUUCUUAUUUUGUUUACCCUUUAAAAAUAAAACAAAAAUAAGUGGCGACUCCAAGUCAUUUUUGAAUAAAUAAAAUCAUUUUUUCAAAAUAAUAAAUCGAGCUCGUCAUCGAGUGGGAAACGCAUGAGCCGAAAUGCGGGGUCCACAUCCUUCUCUUUUAGGAUUAGAGCCUUUGUGUUCGUCUACUAGCCUGAGUGAGUUUGUAUUUCACUAGUAUCCCUAUGGGGGUCUCCUUGGUUCUUCGGUAGAGUUCACUUCAUUCCACUCACUAUUCACACUUGCUUUUCACUCCAGUGUUCAUAUUCCUUACACUCGUGAGCUCUACUGAAGAGGGGCAUAUUUGUAGACCCCCAUUUUAGGGCACUUUCUUUCUCACCUUUCAUGCAGGUUAUUUGGCCAGGUGGCACGAUCCCAGGAGACCACAUGGCGUCUUUGGAGAAGCUGACAGAGAAUUAGGUUAGUGCUUUGAGGAGUUAUCAGAAUUCGACACCUGUAAAGGGGAUUUGAGAAAAGCUGCAGACAGUUAAGGAGUGGAGCGUUUCUGUUAUAGUGGGAGCAGGCCAACUGCAGGAGAAGAGUGCUUUACAGGAGGCCAAGUCAAAGGAGAGGUGCUGGAGAGGAGGGGAUUCACGGGAGAGCUAGGAGCAGUAAGCUAGAGGAGAGUGGUGUUUUUGGGCUGCUGUUUUCUGGCAGAGGGAAGGAGCCAUAGUCUGGAGCAGAGAUCUUUGAGAGGGAUUCUGAGUUGAGCGCUUACCGGAGACGGAGCAGGGAGUUGCAACCCAAGACUAGUUGAAGAAGAGGCUUUCAACGCGUUGCCGUUUGCUGAUCAGGUAUGUAUCCACUUCCACUUCGGUUAUCCUCUAUUGCAUAUUCUGAUAUUCAUAUGUGCAUGAUUGAUUCGAGUAUUCAUUGAUUUUCUCAUUGAUUGUCAUAUCAGCUUCAUCUCAUUAGUAGAGACCCGACUUUAGGGACUUAGAGAGGUGCUACGGUCUUUACCGUACCUUCCCGAUAAGUAACCUGACCCCCGAACCCGAUCCGGUUUUUCACAGACCGCAUUUUCCAAAAUAAGGAGUCACACUUAGGGUUUUUCUUUCUUAUUUUGUUUACCCUUUAAAAAUAAAACAAAA